CCGGUGCUUAUUCUGCCGGUACCGUCAUCCCACCAAUGUAUUAGGGCCAUGGCUUUCUUCCCGGACAAAAGUGCUUUACAACCCGAAGGCCUUCUUCACACACGCGGGAUGGCUGGAUCAGGCUUUCGCCCAUUGUCCAAUAUUCCCCACUGCUGCCUCCCGUAGGAGUCUGGGCCGUGUCUCAGUCCCAGUGUGGCUGAUCGUCCUCUCAGACCAGUUACGGAUCGUCGGCUUGGUGGGCCAUUACCCCACCAACUAGCUAAUCAGACUCGGCUAAUCUGAUAGGCAAGGCCGA
RNAcentral lists this ribosomal RNA (295 nucleotides) under Burkholderia sp. TFD39. RNAcentral's name for it is "partial small subunit ribosomal RNA". The record is from RNAcentral. Lineage: Bacteria; Pseudomonadati; Pseudomonadota; Betaproteobacteria; Burkholderiales; Burkholderiaceae.